AAUAGAUACCCCGGUAGUCCACGCCGUAAACGAUGCUUACUCGUUUUUGGGGCAUUACGCUUCAGAGACCAAGCGAAAGUGAUAAGUAAGCCACCUGGGGAGUACGUUCGCAAGAAUGAAACUCAAAGGAAUUGACGGGGGCCCGCACAAGCGGUGGAUUAUGUGGUUUAAUUCGAUGAUACGCGAGGAACCUUACCAAGACUUAAAUGGGAAUUGACAGACGCAGAAAUGUGUUUUUCUUCGGACAAUUUUCAAGGUGCUGCAUGGUUGUCGUCAGCUCGUGCCGUGAGGUGUUAGGUUAAGUCCUGCAACGAGCGCAACCCCUGUCACUAGUUGCUACCAUUAAGUUGAGGACUCUAGUGAGACUGCCUACGCAAGUAGAGAGGAAGGUGGGGAUGACGUCAAAUCAUCACGGCCCUUACGUCUUGGGCCACACACGUAAUACAAUGGCCGGUACAGAGGGCAGCUACACUGCGAAGUGAUGCGAAUCUCGAAAGCCGGUCUCAGUUCGGAUUGGAGUCUGCAACUCGACU
RNAcentral lists this ribosomal RNA (533 nucleotides) under uncultured bacterium. RNAcentral's name for it is "bacterial SSU rRNA". It matches the Rfam family "Bacterial small subunit ribosomal RNA", at positions 777 to 1317 of the family's 1533-position model. The record is from RNAcentral.